CGGUUAAAAAGCUCGUAGUUGGAUUUCUGUCCGAGACGGCCGGUCCGCACUUAGUGCGUGUAUCUGGUUCGGCUAGGGCAUCCUCUUGGGGAUCGUUUCUGUGCUUUAUUGCAUGGGGCGGAAUUCAAGACUUUUACUUUGAGGAAAUUAGAGUGUUCACGGCAAGCAAUCGCUUUGAAUACAUUAGCAUGGAAUAAUAAUAUAGGGCGUAAGUUCUAUUUUGUUGGUUUCUAGGACAUACGCAAUGAUUAAUAGGGACAAUUGGGGGCAUUCGUAUUAACGCGUCAGAGGUGGAAUUCUUAGAUUGCGUUACGACGAACUACUGCGAAAGCAUUUGCCAAAGAUGUUUUCAUUGAUCAAGAACGAAAGUAUGGGGAUCGAAGACGAUUAGAUACCGUCGUAGUCUAUACCAUAAACUAUGCCAAUUAGAGAUUGGAGGUCGUUCGUUUAUGGCACCU
RNAcentral lists this ribosomal RNA (458 nucleotides) under uncultured marine eukaryote. RNAcentral's name for it is "SSU rRNA". It matches the Rfam family "Eukaryotic small subunit ribosomal RNA", at positions 616 to 1079 of the family's 1831-position model. The record is from RNAcentral.